This 492-nucleotide ribosomal RNA is filed under the name uncultured bacterium. Its description in RNAcentral is "partial 16S ribosomal RNA". It matches the Rfam family "Bacterial small subunit ribosomal RNA", at positions 29 to 507 of the family's 1533-position model. The record is from RNAcentral.
AGUGAACGCUGGCGGUAGGCCUAGCACAUGCAAGUCGAACGGCAGCACAGUAAGAGCUUGCUCUUACGGGUGGCGAGUGGCGGACGGGUGAGGAAUACAUCGGAAUCUACUUUUUCGUGGGGGAUAACGUAGGGAAACUUACGCUAAUACCGCAUACGACCUACGGGUGAAAGCAGGGGAUCUUCGGACCUUGCGCGAUUGAAUGAGCCGAUGUCGGAUUAGCUAGUUGGCGGGGUAAAGGCCCACCAAGGCGACGAUCCGUAGCUGGUCUGAGAGGAUGAUCAGCCACACUGGAACUGAGACACGGUCCAGACUCCUACGGGAGGCAGCAGUGGGGAAUAUUGGACAAUGGGCGCAAGCCUGAUCCAGCCAUACCGCGUGGGUGAAGAAGGCCUUCGGGUUGUAAAGCCCUUUUGUUGGGAAAGAAAAGCAGCGGGUUAAUACCCCGCUGUUCUGACGGUACCCAAAGAAUAAGCACCGGCUAACUUCGUG